ACAAAGAGGUCUGGCUUUAAGUGGACCAAAAAGGAUCCUCAAGAGUCCUCAAGUGCAGUAUGAACAUAAAGAGAACUGUGUCCUUUUUCACUUGGUCCACUUAAAGGGGUCAGAGUUUGGUUCUUUUAAAGAGGACCCAAGUGUGAAAACACCCUAUUAUCAAGAUUAUCACGUAUGUAUGUUUUCUGUCUUGUGUUGGUGACAACUGGAGGUUCAAAAUCAAACAGAAGUCCCAACAUGUUGACCUGCUAAUUAGAACAUAUGUAUCUGUCCUCAAAAUUUGACUUUUCCUCAUUGCAAUAACCAACAGACUUGACUUUUGCUAUGCAUCAUACUGCACGGUUAAUGGCUGAAGUUGUUCAAAUAUUGCAAUCUGUGUAUAUAUUGCAAAGCAAGUUUAGGUGAAGGGCUAAACGAAACAAAAAAGCUCCUCACAAGGGAGAGUUUGUGGACGGACAUCGUGUAUGUUUGCUGUACAAAUAUUAGCUUUAAUAAUUAAGAGCAACACUUUUCCACAAGCAAUUUUUCCCCUCUGCCAUUUUCAUAGUCAGUCACUCACAUUUUGACAAAUUCCACAAUGCAAACUUUUACUAAUCAUGUGAAAUUUUAAUGUGGCUGUAUUCUGUUAUACAGUGCUACAGUGUAAAGAAUAUAUUCCAAGCUUUUUUUUUAUGAUUUUUUUGAUAAUAAAAUGUCAUUUCAGUAUUUUCUUGCUUUUACUUUGAAGGAAACCAUAGUGAGUCAGCAGUACAUUUCAUGUGAACUCCAGUACAGUUCAGUGCAAGGGAUUUCAAAGAGCAUCCCUCAUCUCUAUCACUCUCCUGUUCCCCCUCCAUCAGUGAAAGACUCUCCUGAGAGUGUGUGACCCAGGCUCCUCACACAUCUGAUGAGAGAGCUAAUAGUGUCAUAUCCAGCAGAGUGAGGAGGAUGCCAAGAGCAAAAUCUACCCGGACAUUAGAAUUUCCCAGAGAGAUAAUGAGCUUUUUGUGAGGGGUGAAAGGGGCUCCCUUAAUCUGGUUCACACAGUCUCUACCUUUGGUGUAGCGCUGCUACGUUUGAGCCAGGUCUGAUUGAAGAGGGCAGCGGGUCAAUGGAUGGAUGGAUAGAUGGAGGGCAAAAAGGAGAGGACAGAGGAAUGGCCAGAGGGGAGGUGUAAAGGGGUGCAUGUGGGACGUCCCAGGCUGAAUUUUUGAGGAUUAACGGGGUGACUUCUCUUCUGGAAUGUUCAGCCGACAGCCAAGACCCUCCCACUCUGUCAGACAGGAGGAGAUGGUUUCAAGAAGUUCUGCUGGGUGAUACAGAACAGGAAUGGCUCUCAGCGUGAAGAUCGGCCCAAAUCUCUUCCCACACACCUCUUCACACAGCUGCAGUAAACUACAGGUAGGAGUGUUUUACCGCCAUGCGCUCUGGAUCAGUCGAUGUGCCUCAGGACCACCAAGAAAGACUUUGUUCUUCGUCUGGGAACAUAACAGACACAAACUCUCCCUCUUUUAAUUAGAGAACUGCCACACUUUAUCAACAAAGAUGCUGCUACUAGAGUUACUGUUGUCUAUAAACAGUGCUCCUUCAGUCAGUGUGAAUAAAUGAGUCAUCAAAGUCUUCAGGAUUCAUAUUUCAAAGGUCUUGGUUUGGUAAGAGGUGUUUCAUUAUCAGAACAAUACCAUUUUUGUUUCAGUUUUCAUGUUAUUUAUAUAUAUAUAUAUAUUGAUAGUAGAGUGAGUCCUAAUCUAGGGAGCAGAAUGAGACAGUGGAAUAUUUUGACUUGGGCCAGCAAACAACUAACCAGCAUUCCUGUAGCUCAAACAGAGCAGGCCGUUAGCAAUACCAAGAUCAUGGGUUCGAUUCCCACAGUUAUUUUUGUAUAAUUUUGUAUUAGUAUUUAUUUUUAAAAUUUGCAAUUUUCUUUUUAGAUUAAAUUGAAAUAUGAUGUGGCUUUUUUCAGUUUUUUAUUUAUUUUAAAUGUCUUAGUUUUUAUUUUUAAUUUCAGUUUUCAUUUUUUUAAAUUAUAAUUUUAGUACUUAAGUAAAUUAAACAAAAAUCAGAAAUGUUGCCAUGAGAA
Molecule: long non-coding RNA, 2059 nt
Organism: Megalobrama amblycephala (Wuchang bream)
Lineage: Eukaryota; Metazoa; Chordata; Actinopteri; Cypriniformes; Xenocyprididae
Exons: 5
Source: RefSeq, a predicted model, not a curated record